AGAGGGUGCGAGCGUUAAUCGGAAUUACUGGGCGUAAAGCGUACGUAGGCGGAUAUUUAAGUCGAUUGUGAAAGCCCCGGGCUUAACCUGGGAACUGCAGUCGAUACUGGAUAUCUAGAGUAUGGGAGAGGAAAGUGGAAUUCCCGGUGUAGCGGUGAAAUGCAUAGAUAUCGGGAGGAACAUCAGUGGCGAAGGCGGCUUUCUGGCCCAAUACUGACGCUGAGGUACGAAAGCGUGGGUAGCAAACAGGAUUAGAUACCCUGGUAGUCCACGCCGUAAACGAUGAGAACUAGGCGAUGGGAGGCUUGACCUCUUGGUGCCGUAGCUAACGCAUUAAGUUCUCCGCCUGGGGAGUACGGCCGCAAGGCUA
This 370-nucleotide ribosomal RNA is filed under the name uncultured organism. RNAcentral describes it as "partial 16S ribosomal RNA". It matches the Rfam family "Bacterial small subunit ribosomal RNA", at positions 527 to 896 of the family's 1533-position model. The record is from RNAcentral.